AGCUUUAUAGUCAAAUUUAUGAUAUUAGAUUGCAAAUCUAAAGGUGUUGAAACUAAAGCUU
RNAcentral lists this transfer RNA (61 nucleotides) under Leptocorisa costalis. RNAcentral describes it as "tRNA-Cys". It matches the Rfam family "tRNA". Rfam says of the family: Transfer RNA (tRNA) molecules are approximately 80 nucleotides in length. Their secondary structure includes four short double-helical elements and three loops (D, anti-codon, and T loops). Lineage: Eukaryota; Metazoa; Arthropoda; Insecta; Hemiptera; Alydidae. The record is from RNAcentral.